Candidatus Bathyarchaeota archaeon B24 is the source of this 75-nucleotide non-coding RNA. The record is from Rfam. Lineage: Archaea; Thermoproteati; Candidatus Bathyarchaeota.
GGGCCGGUAGAUCAGCCUGGUAUGAUCGCCCCCUUGGCAUGGGGGAGGCCGAGGGUUCAAAUCCCUCCCGGUCCA